GUGGGGAAUAUUGCACAAUGGGGGAAACCCUGAUGCAGCAACGCCGCGUGAGUGAAGAAGUAUUUCGGUAUGUAAAGCUCUAUCAGCAGGGAAGAUAAUGACGGUACCUGACUAAGAAGCUCCGGCUAAAUACGUGCCAGCAGCCGCGGUAAUACGUAUGGAGCAAGCGUUAUCCGGAUUUACUGGGUGUAAAGGGUGCGUAGGUGGCAGUGCAAGUCAGAUGUGAAAGGCCGGGGCUCAACCCCGGAGCUGCAUUUGAAACUGCAUAGCUGGAGUACAGGAGAGGCAGGCGGAAUUCCUAGUGUAGCGGUGAAAUGCGUAGAUAUUAGGAGGAACACCAGUGGCGAAGGCGGCCUGCUGGACUGUUACUGACACUGAGGCACGAAAGCGUGGGGAGCAAACAGGAUUAGAAACCCCGGUAGUCC
This 425-nucleotide ribosomal RNA is filed under the name uncultured bacterium. Its description in RNAcentral is "partial 16S ribosomal RNA". It matches the Rfam family "Bacterial small subunit ribosomal RNA", at positions 354 to 796 of the family's 1533-position model. The record is from RNAcentral.